GAUGAACGCUGGCGGCGUGCCUAAUACAUGCGAGUCGAGCGAACGGACGAGAAGCUUGCUUCUCUGAUGUUAGCGGCGGACGGGUGAGUAACACGUGGAUAACCUACCUAUAAGACUGGGAUAACUUCGGGAAACCGGAGCUAAUACCGGAUGAUAUUUUGAACCGCAUGGUUCAAAAGUGAAAGACGGUCUUGCUGUCACUUAUGGAUGGAUCCGCGCUGCAUUAGCUAGUUGGUAAGGUAACGGCUUACCAAGGCAACGAUGCAUAGCCGACCUGAGAGGGUGGUCGGCCACACUGGAACUGAGACACGGUCCAGACUCCUACGGGAGGCAGCAGUAGGGAAUCUUCCGCAAUGGGCGAAAGCCUGACGGAGCAACGCCGCGUGAGUGAUGAAGGUCUUCGGAUCGUAAAACUCUGUUAUUAGGGAAGAACAUAUGUGUAAGUAACUGUGCACAUCUUGACGGUACCUAAUCAGAAAGCCACGGCUAACUACGUG
Molecule: ribosomal RNA, 497 nt
Filed under: uncultured bacterium
Lineage: Bacteria
Description: partial 16S ribosomal RNA
Rfam family: Bacterial small subunit ribosomal RNA
Source: RNAcentral